Molecule: ribosomal RNA, 484 nt
Filed under: uncultured bacterium
Lineage: Bacteria
Description: partial 16S ribosomal RNA
Rfam family: Bacterial small subunit ribosomal RNA
Source: RNAcentral
AUUGAACGCUGGCGGCAGGCCUAACACAUGCAAGUCGAGCGGAUGAAGGGAGCUUGCUCCUGGAUUCAGCGGCGGACGGGUGAGUAAUGCCUAGGAAUCUGCCUGUUAGUGGGGGAUAACGUCCGGAAACGGGCGCUAAUACCGCAUACGUCCUGAGGGAGAAAGUGGGGGAUCUUCGGACCUUACGCUAUCAGAUGAGCCUAGGUCGGAUUAGCUAGUUGGUGGGGUAAAGGCCUACCAAGGCGACGAUCCGUAACUGGUCUGAGAGGAUGAUCAGGCACACUGGAACUGAGACACGGUCCAGACUCCUACGGGAGGCAGCAGUGGGGAAUAUUGGACAAUGGGCGAAAGCCUGAUCCAGCCAUGCCGCGUGUGUGAAGAAGGUCUUCGGAUUGUAAAGCACUUUAAGUUGGGAGGAAGGGCAGUAAGUUAAUACCUUGCUGUUUUGACGUUACCAACAGAAUAAGCACCGGCUAACUUCGUG